AUCGGUGCUCGCCGGAUGGCAUUGGCCUGCGUGACUCUUCGUCAAGCAAGUGAGAACAAAAAUAAGGAUGGGUGUAUCUUGGCUUUGAAUGGAAUCAAGCAUGAAUACUAUAAUCUGCAAAGCAGUCUGGAUAGCAUUGUUCAGUUGGAAAGGCGAAUUCUCUGUCAUAACGCUUGAAAUGCAAUGAUGAGGGAGCUGUGGUGUGGUUUUCCCACGAACGUGGAAAGAGUUGCUGCGAUAGUCGACCAGAAUAGUAGGACUCAAUUGUUGCCUUUUUUGUUUUCUUAAACGAUUGAACACCAAGACAUUUCAUCUUUGUGGUUGGAACCUUUAUAUGGCUCAAUUAACGAACCAUUCUGGAUCUGUUCUUUUAU
Molecule: long non-coding RNA, 374 nt
Organism: Vitis riparia (riverbank grape)
Lineage: Eukaryota; Viridiplantae; Streptophyta; Magnoliopsida; Vitales; Vitaceae
Exons: 3
Source: RefSeq, a predicted model, not a curated record